Molecule: unclassified non-coding RNA, 213 nt
Filed under: rhizosphere metagenome
Description: partial ribosomal RNA internal transcribed spacer region
Source: RNAcentral
GUAGGUGAACCUGCGGAAGGAUCAUUAAUAAACCUAGCGUUCGCGCAUAUAGGUAACCCUUGAAUAAACUACCCUUGUUGCUUUGGCGGGUCGCCUUUUAGGCCAGCGGCUUCGGCUGCUGCGUGCCCGCCAGAGGACCACAACUCUUGUUUUUAGUGAUGUCUGAGUACUAUAUAAUAGUUAAAACUUUCAACAACGGAUCUCUUGGUUCUG